RNAcentral lists this microRNA precursor (94 nucleotides) under Phalacrocorax carbo (great cormorant). RNAcentral describes it as "mir-146 microRNA precursor family". It matches the Rfam family "mir-146 microRNA precursor family". Lineage: Eukaryota; Metazoa; Chordata; Aves; Suliformes; Phalacrocoracidae. The record is from Rfam by way of RNAcentral.
AUGUAUUCUCAGCUUUGAGAACUGAAUUCCAUGGGUUGUAAUUGAAUCUGCUGUCAGACCCAUGGGGCUCAGUUCUUCAGCUUGGAUAUUUCCG